GUUGGCGCAAGUGUGGUGGAUCUGUGAGGAUGUUUGAGGUGCACCAACUUGCAGUGACUCGGGAGACUCGAGCUAAAUCAAAGAUGUUCUUCCUUGAGAGCCGAGAGGAGCGCUCCCCUGGCAUGUCCCUGCCUUGACAACUUUGGGGGCCACGCGUGCAGGCGUCGAAGGACCUGUCACUGGCGAUAAUGUCAGCUGCAAACUCAGGCGUACUUAGUAGCUUGCUUAUUCUCUUUGAUGGCAUAGUGUAUUACUUUUUUUUUUUUUUUUUUUAGAAAUAUAUUUUUUGAUUUUU
Molecule: long non-coding RNA, 295 nt
Filed under: Penaeus japonicus
Lineage: Eukaryota; Metazoa; Arthropoda; Malacostraca; Decapoda; Penaeidae
Description: uncharacterized LOC122257849
Source: RNAcentral